AUGUGCUUGCUUCAGCCACACAUAUACUAAAAUUCGAACGACACAGAGAUUAGCAUAGACCCUGCACAAGGAUGACAUGCAAAUUCAUGAAGCAUUCCAUAUUUGG
This is a small nuclear RNA of Athene cunicularia (burrowing owl), 106 nucleotides long. NCBI's taxonomy places the organism in Eukaryota, Metazoa, Chordata, Aves, Strigiformes, Strigidae. The record is from Ensembl.